Emys orbicularis (European pond turtle) is the source of this 526-nucleotide long non-coding RNA. RefSeq lists it as uncharacterized. The transcript is spliced from 4 exons. The record is from RefSeq and is a predicted model, not a curated record. Lineage: Eukaryota; Metazoa; Chordata; Testudines; Emydidae.
CCUGUUGAACUGCGGCCUUACAUAACACCAGGGAAUUAAUUAUAGACCCUAACUCUGUCUUUCCAGACUUUCUAAUGUUUUUAUUAUAUAGGGAGGUGUAAAAGCAUUUCCUUUGGAAUUAGCUGAAUUAAGUGUGAACAGUCUUCCAUCCUCAACUAUCUCUUCAGGAUGAUAUUUUAUUUGUGGGGGUUAUGGGAGAAAGAAGCCCCAAAAUAUACACCCAAACACAUACCAAGGGCUACUGAAACUAAGUAACAAUUUGCUACCAGCGGAGAACAAGUUCUGGAGGCAUUAAUCAAAGCACAGCAGAAAAUAAUGCCAUUACGAUACCAAUAGCUAGGGAGAUGGAGACAGGAAAAAAAAAAACAGAGGAGCAAGAAAAAGAGCAUCAAGAGCACAUUGCAUACUGGAGUGUGUGUUCCUUCGCAGACGACUCUCAUCUCCUUCUGACAGUCUAUCACAGACCAACAACAACAAAAGUGAAGUGGCUGCAAGAUUUACAUUGGAAGGUGGAUAAUGCAGACAG